CUUAUUACAAUCACAAAGGAGGAAGCGGGGAUUUAUGACUUCAUGCAGUUUAAACCACCUGCCUGCCUAAGUGGCAAAGCUAGCUGCUCACAGGACAGCUCUGAAUCUGACUAAGCUUAUUCCAUCAAACUUCACUCCAGAAUUUUCAAAUCACCGAACCCCAAAGUUAUGGGAAUUUGUUGCCAAGGGAGAAAGACAGUGGAAUUUCUGCUUUCCUGAUCUGCAGAAACUAUAAAACUGACCCAAUAGAUAUGGAUAUCGCCUCAUCAGCAAAGCAGCACUCUCGCAUAUUCUUUCCUGAAGGUAUAAUCCAACAUUAAAUUCAGGAUUUAUAUAGUUUCAAUAUGCUCCUCAUUGAUUCCAGAUUAGACUGUAUUGCCUGCCCUCAUGAGAUGUGUUUCUCCUCCAAGAAUUCCUGAUAGUCCUCUGGUGUGUAUGUGUGUGCACUCAUGCAUUUGGCUUUCAGCUACAGCCACCAUAUGAAUAGAAAGAAUGGACAUACAAAGAAUCACAUUUGCCUUCCACUUCUGCAAUUUGCUGACCCUAGCAGACUACACGAACUAGAUGAUUGGAACUCCUCAAGGGUAACCUCUGUAAGACUGCAGACUUAAAGGUUGUCAGCAACUUGGCUUAUAUCUGCAGUGGCUUUGUUUCUCUCCAGUGCAUAAACCAAAGGUAAAAUUGGACUCACGAGCUAACCUUUACCACCAGGCAUUCUUUUACUUGAAGAUGAUAAUAGACUUUCCUUGUGGUGGAAGUUGUGCGCCAUGAGUGCCCUCUCUUGUGUCACCGUACGAGUGUGUAAAGUAAGAAGUGCAGGCAGGGAGUAGCAGGA
This 835-nucleotide long non-coding RNA is filed under the name Homo sapiens (human). RNAcentral's name for it is "HSALNT0306034". The record is from RNAcentral. Lineage: Eukaryota; Metazoa; Chordata; Mammalia; Primates; Hominidae.